Tupaia belangeri (northern tree shrew) is the source of this 343-nucleotide unclassified non-coding RNA. Its record names the gene 7SK. It matches the Rfam family "7SK RNA". From Rfam's summary of the family: 7SK was discovered as an abundant small nuclear RNA in the mid-70s but a possible function has only recently been suggested. Two independent studies have found that 7SK RNA binds the CDK9/cyclin T complex (known as elongation factor P-TEFb). P-TEFb activates transcription by phosphorylating the C-terminal domain of RNA polymerase II. The record is from Ensembl. Lineage: Eukaryota; Metazoa; Chordata; Mammalia; Scandentia; Tupaiidae.
GGAUGUGAGGGCAAUCUGGCUGCGACUUUUGUCACCCCUUUGAUCACCAGGGUUGAUUUGGCUGACCUGGCUUGCUAGGAGAGUGUCCCCUUCCUCCCUCACCACUCCAUGUGUGUCCCUCCCAAAGCUGUGCACUCGGUCGAAGAGGACGACCAUCCCUGUUUUUCAGUCAAGGGUGUACAAGUAGCCGUGCUCCCCUACUAGAACCUCCAAACAAGGUCUCAGGAUUUCCAUUUAAUUAGCCUUGCCUGGAGGUAGUACAGGAUGGUAAUGAUUUUUUCCCCCUAGAAACUUGCAAGAGAGAAGUCUUACAUAUAAAAAGUAAAUUCUCUUUGUAGAAUUU